UACAGAGGGGGCAAGCGUUGUUCGGAUUCAUUGGGCGUAAAGGGUGUGUAGGUGGCGCCGUAAGUCAGGUGUGAAAUUUCGGAGCUUAACUCCGAAACUGCAUUUGAUACUGCGGUGCUUGAGGACUGGAGAGGAGACUGGAAUUUACGGUGUAGCAGUGAAAUGCGUAGAGAUCGUAAGGAAGACCAGUGGCGAAGGCGGGUCUCUGGACAGUUCUUGACACUGAGGCACGAGGGCCAGGGGAGCAAACGGG
RNAcentral lists this ribosomal RNA (253 nucleotides) under uncultured bacterium. Its description in RNAcentral is "partial 16S ribosomal RNA". It matches the Rfam family "Bacterial small subunit ribosomal RNA", at positions 524 to 776 of the family's 1533-position model. The record is from RNAcentral.